CACUUUGUCUUUAUGGCAAAUGUGAGAUGCAGUGUAUGGAAUGUCAAAUUUCUAGUAUGAGAAAUUAACGAUUUAAGUCCUUCUUAAAUGAGGCCAUUUACCCACAGAGGGUGCCAGGCCCGUAUAACGUUAAUGAUUACUAGAUGGCAUUUCCAAAGAGUCGUGUUGCUUGAUAGUGCAGCACUAAGUGGGUGGUAAACUCCAUCUAAAACUAAAUAUAACCAUGAGACCGAUAGUAAACAAGUACCGUGAGGGAAAGUUGAAAAGAACUCUGAAUAGAGAGUUAAAUAGUACGUGAAACUGCUUAGAGGUUAAGCCCGAUGAACCUGAAUAUCCAUUAUGGAAAAUUCAUCAUUAUGAUUUUAAUAUUUAUAAUAUUAUAAUAAUGGUGUGCAUUUUUUCUAUAACGGACAUUGUAAUCUAUUAACAUAAAUAUAUUUAUCAUAAGAUCAAUGAUGCGUAAGUUUAUUCAAAUUAUUUUGCUUGCAAUUUAACAUAGAAUAAAUGCUCUUGAUUUGAUAAAGUGUUGAUAGAUUUAUUGUAUAUAGUGCUUAAAUAUUUAUAUUUUAUAAUAGCAUAUUAAUCACUGAUUUUUAUGUUUAUUAUAUGCACUUAUAUGAUUAACAAUGCGAAAGAUUCAGGAUACCUUCGGGACCCGUCUUGAAACACGGACCAAGGAGUCUAACAUAUUUGCAAGUUAUUGGGCAUCAAAACCUAAUAGCGAAAUUAACAUAACUUUUAUGGGAUUAGUUUUUAGAUUAUUUAUAGUCUAUUAAUUAAAUCCCGGGGCGUUCUAUAUAGUUAUGUAUAAUAAUAUUUAUAUUAUUUAUACCUCUAACUGGAGCGUACCUUGAGCAUAUAUGCUGUGACCCGAAAGAUGGUGAACUAUACUUGAUCAGGUUGAAGUCAGGGGAAACCCUGAUGGAAGACCGAAACAGUUCUGACGUGCAAAUCGAUUGUCAGAAUUCA
RNAcentral lists this ribosomal RNA (969 nucleotides) under Metoposarcophaga sp. JOS-2001. RNAcentral describes it as "eukaryotic LSU rRNA". It matches the Rfam family "Eukaryotic large subunit ribosomal RNA", at positions 120 to 914 of the family's 3401-position model. The record is from RNAcentral. Lineage: Eukaryota; Metazoa; Arthropoda; Insecta; Diptera; Sarcophagidae.